This 880-nucleotide ribosomal RNA is filed under the name uncultured bacterium. RNAcentral describes it as "bacterial SSU rRNA". It matches the Rfam family "Bacterial small subunit ribosomal RNA", at positions 58 to 916 of the family's 1533-position model. The record is from RNAcentral.
CAAGUCGAACGGGAUUUUUUUCUGUAGCAAUACAGGAAAAAGUCUAGUGGCGAACGGGUGCGUAACACGUGAGCAACCUGCCGUGAAGUGGGGGAUAGCUCGCCGAAAGGCGAAUUAAUACCGCAUGUGGCCAAGGAAGACAUCUUCCUGACGCCAAAGCCGGGGCAACCUGGCGCUUCUCGAGGGGCUCGCGGCCUAUCAGCUUGUUGGUGAGGUAACGGCUCACCAAGGCUAUGACGGGUAGCUGGUCUGAGAGGACGACCAGCCACACUGGAACUGAGACACGGUCCAGACACCUACGGGUGGCAGCAGUCGAGAAUUUUUCACAAUGGGGGAAACCCUGAUGGAGCGACGCCGCGUGGAGGAUGAAGGUUUUCGGAUUGUAAACUCCUGUCAUUAGAGAACAAGGCACACGGUUUAACUGAUCGUGUGUUGAUAGUAUCUGAAGAGGAAGAGACGGCUAACUCUGUGCCAGCAGCCGCGGUAAUACAGAGGUCUCAAGCGUUGUUCGGAUUCAUUGGGCGUAAAGGGUGCGUAGGUGGCGAUGUAAGUCGGAUGUGAAAUCUCCAAGCUUAACUUGGAAACUGCAUUCGAUACUGCGUUGCUAGAGGACUGUAGAGGGCAUUGGAAUUCACGGUGUAGCAGUGAAAUGCGUAGAUAUCGUGAGGAAGACCAGUGGCGAAGGCGAAUGCCUGGGCAGUUCCUGACACUGAGGCACGAAAGCCGGGGGAGCAAACGGGAUUAGAUACCCCGGUAGUCCUGGCAGUAAACGGUGCACGUUUGGUGUGGGAGGAUUCGACCCCUUCCGUGCCGGAGCAAACGCGUUAAACGUGCCGCCUGGGGAGUACGGUCGCAGAUUAAAACUCAAAGAAAUUGACCG